Molecule: non-coding RNA, 1389 nt
Organism: Pocillopora verrucosa
Lineage: Eukaryota; Metazoa; Cnidaria; Anthozoa; Scleractinia; Pocilloporidae
Source: RefSeq, a predicted model, not a curated record
AUGUUGGUCUAAGAUAUUUCUUGUCUUUGUACGAAACAGACAAGAAAAAAUCUGACAACAAGUACGACGAUCACAAGACAAAUAGUCGACGCCAGAACAGGAAAAAACAGAAAUUGAAGAGAAGAAGAGAAACACUGGAUAAGAUUGAUUGGGUUAGACGUGAAAAAGGAAAGGCAGCUGAGGUGCUCACUGAGGAAUACAUGUCAUCAGAAGUGUCGGAAUCAGGAAAAGAGUCGCUAUCUGGUGAUGAAGGGUGUUCUAAAGCAAAGAAGUUGUACAUCAAAACAGUUCCGUGGGAGAGCGAAGAUCUCAAAACAUUAAAAAGCAAACUUGAUGAAGAGUACGCCAGCCGUCAGACUUCUCGCUCUCGACGUCGCGAAUUUCAAAGAGAUAGGCGUCCUAAAGACGUUUCUUCACGUCCAAAACCUAACAACGGUCCAUCAUGGGCUUUCAAGAAGGACGAUGGGCAGUGACGUCGACAAAUAAAACCCGGAUUGGAAGGCUGAACUUUAUCUAGUAUCGAGGACACUUUCGAUGUGUACAGAAUUAUACAUUUCUUACGCAUUUUAUGAUAAGGAUCAAAUCGAAGCUAUGCAUUUUUCAAUUAAUGUUUUAGCCUUUUUUAGUGAACUUUAUCAAAAAAGGCUAAAACAUCAAUUACUGAAUGAAAGCUUCGUAGUUUUCAAUAGAUGUUUUAGUAUUUUAAUGAUGAAUGGAAGCCACGUAUUUUUAACAGAUGGUUUAGUAUUUUAUGAUAAAUGGAAGCUGCGCAUUUUUCAGUAAAUGUCUAAGGUAAAUUAAAGAUUAUUAGAUUAUUUAGGCUUAUUUAUUUAUUUUAUUUAUUUAGGCUUUCAGUAGGAUUCAUGCUCUUAUUACGUAAUGCGUAUUACGUAAUGCGUAUCACGCUAUUUUAGUGAAUAGCUCUUAUGUAAGCUUCUGGAAUGUGCUAGAACAUUUUGUGAAAAUAUAUAAAAACUUACUUAGUCUUAAGCACGAAACUCAGAGUCACGGAGAAUCGAUGCGUCCUCUUUAAUUCUUUAACUUAUGUAUACUUAGCUCUGCUACCACAGCAUUGAGCACUUUAUGCCAAGGUAGACUCUACCCUCACAUUCAUUUAUAAAGACUUACUUAUGUAGUAGUAGUAGUAAUAGUUGUUGUUGUCGGAGCGACAACUGUUUUGAAGGCCAUACUGAGAGAGAGUUACUGCGGAAGAUUGCUCAUUUCAAGGAACUUUGGAGACAGUAGUGAGAUUGUGUUAGUGGUGAGGUAGGAUAUAGACUGUGGUGGGCUUAAUUAAAUUUAUUAACGAUGAUUAUUGUACUGCUUUAAGGAAUCGCUCCUUCUUAAGAACAUUACUCCCUGUUUAAUAAAGUAGUUGAGCUUGUGGGA